RNAcentral lists this ribosomal RNA (449 nucleotides) under uncultured bacterium. RNAcentral's name for it is "partial 16S ribosomal RNA". It matches the Rfam family "Bacterial small subunit ribosomal RNA", at positions 29 to 523 of the family's 1533-position model. The record is from RNAcentral.
AACGAACGCUGGCGGCAUGCCUAACGCAUGCAAGUCGAACGAGAUCUUCGGGUCUAGUGGCGCACGGGUGCGUAACGCGUGGGAAUCUGCCCUUUGGUUCGGAAUAACAGUUGGAAACGACUGCUAAUACCGGAUGAUGACGAAAGUCCAAAGAUUUAUCGCCAGAGGAUGAGCCCGCGUAGGAUUAGCCAGUUGGUGUGGUAAAGGCGCACCAAGGCGACGAUCCUUAGCUGGUCUGAGAGGAUGAUCAGCCACACUGGGACUGAGACACGGCCCAGACUCCUACGGGAGGCAGCAGUGGGGAAUAUUGGACAAUGGGCGAAAGCCUGAUCCAGCAAUGCCGCGUGAGUGAUGAGGGCCUUAGGGUUGUAAAGCUCUUUUACCCGGGAUGAUAAUGACAGUACCGGGAGAAUAAGCUCCGGCUAACUCCGUGCCAGCCGCCGCAGUAA